RNAcentral lists this unclassified non-coding RNA (163 nucleotides) under uncultured Penicillium. RNAcentral's name for it is "sequence contains ITS2". The record is from RNAcentral. Lineage: Eukaryota; Fungi; Ascomycota; Eurotiomycetes; Eurotiales; Aspergillaceae.
CUGCCCUCAAGCACGGCUUGUGUGUUGGGCCUCCGUCCUCCUCCCGGGGGACGGGCCCGAAAGGCAGCGGCGGCACCGCGUCCGGUCCUCGAGCGUAUGGGGCUUCGUCACCCGCUCUUGUAGGCCCGGCCGGCGCUUGCCGACACAUCAAUCUUUUUCCAGG